Plasmodium gaboni is the source of this 416-nucleotide small nucleolar RNA. NCBI's taxonomy places the organism in Eukaryota, Apicomplexa, Aconoidasida, Haemosporida, Plasmodiidae. The record is from RefSeq and is a predicted model, not a curated record.
GAUAUAAUCUUAAUUAUAUUUUAUAAAAUAAAUUAAAAAAAAAUAUAAUUGUAAAAUCUUCUUAACAAGAACAAAUAAAAAAUAUUUGUAUUCCUAUUAUUUCAUCUAAUGAAAUAAUAAUUUACAAACUUGAUAAAAUAAAAAUAAUAAAAAAAUAAAAUAUAUCUUUAUGAAUAUUAGAGAUAAUUUUUAUAUAUUUUAUUUUUUUUUUAUUUAUCAAAACAACAAAAGGAAAAAAAAAAAAAGGAAAAUACAAAUAUAUAAAUAUAUAUAUAUAUAUACAUAUUUGUCAAUUGGACAAAAUUGUUUGCUCCUUAGACAAUAUGAACUUUUUUUUUUCUUUUUUUUUGCUUCUUCUCAUUUCUACUAUCAUGAUUGAAGAAUAAAACAAUCUUUGGUAAUCUGAUUUUUAAUGA